Molecule: non-coding RNA, 9186 nt
Organism: Callithrix jacchus (white-tufted-ear marmoset)
Lineage: Eukaryota; Metazoa; Chordata; Mammalia; Primates; Cebidae
Source: RefSeq, a predicted model, not a curated record
CUUCAGUAUCAGACAUCUCUGCAAAGGGAUUUCAAAUAUGCUUAUGAAAAUAUUUUUACAUAUUGGCCAGGCAUGAUGGCUCACACCUGUAAUCCCAGCACUUUGGGAGGCUGAGGUGGGAGGAUCACUUGAGCCCAGGAAUUUGAGACCAGUCUGGGCAAUAUGAUGAGAUCCGUCACUACAAAAAUUGUUAAAAAUCUAUCUACUGGCCGGUCAUGGUACCUCACACCUGUAAUCCCAGCGCUUUGGGAGGCCAAGGAGGGUAGAUCGCGAGGUCAGGAGUUCGAGGCCCAGCCUAGUCAACAUGGUAAAACCCCAUCUCUACUAAAAAUACAAAAAUUGGCAAGGUGUGGUGGUGCAUGCCUGUAGUCCCAGCUACUCAGGAGGCUGAAACAGGUGAGUCGCUUGAAUCUAGGAGGUGGAAGUUGUAGUGAGCUGAGAUUGUACCACUGCACUCCAGCCUGGGUGACAGGGUGAGACUCUGUCUAAAAAAAAAAAAAUUAUCUAUCUAUCUAUCUAUCUAUCUAUCUAUCUAUCUAUCUAUCUAUCUAUCUAGAGACUUUAGCCUAGUUUCUUGUACUUGAUGUGUUUAUUGAGCUUUUUCCUUUGGAAAGUUCAGUAAGUUUCCUUAGGGUCUAGUCCGUGAGAGUCAAGCACUUGCAUGGCUUUUGUCAGACAUGGGCUGGAAGAAUGAAUUGGCUAAGGUAAGUGGCUGUUAAAUAUUAGAGCUUUGAGGUCACAAGGAGCAACCUGGCAAAAGGCAUCAGAGUGAUUCAGAGGCCAAAGGCCAGGCUGAGGGCCCACGCUCUCAGCUACCCGAUUUGGCUUGGGAAUGUCCUGUAUGGACAGAGAGGAUAGCUAGAUAUCAGACUAUCUCUACAGCCCAGGGGAAAGGGCAAUCGGCCUACUUUUGUACCAGAAAGGGCCAGUUUGGACCGGACGGCCAAGGAGAGUGAAUUCAUUCAGAUCAGCAACUCCCUGAGGGGUGUAGGGGAAGAAGGAGAAGCUGACAGCAUCUCUCUGGAGAAGGAAAAAGAAGUUAUCGAUUUCUUCUGGGGAGAGAGGGAGGAAAUGAGGCACUUCUGGGUGUGAGGUGGGGAGAAGAGAAGGUGACUCUGAAUGGUACACACAGCGUCACAGAGACCAGUCUGCCGCAGGGGCUGUCCUGGAUGCUCUGUGGAGAAGUCUGAAGUGUGCUGAAGGGGUGGCGAGGGGCAGAGAGGCUUCCCUCCAUGGACAUCUGGGAAGGAGAGCUGCUGCUCUCUGCUUCAAAAAGGAGCUAAUAGACAGUGCUGCCCAUCAGGAUGGGCUGUGACAGCCAGAUGGCUUCUGACCGUCACACAGAGGUCUCCAAAAUGGGGAGCUCCUUUUAAUUCAUUUGAGGGUUAUCUAGGAAAAGUAGAGGAUGCCAUAAAAGCAAACGGAUGGGAAUGUCAGAGCCAUGGGGACACUCACCCACUUCUGGGGACCUCUCUACAGCUGAGCACUUCAGCUCGGUCACUGGGCUUGAGGAUCAGCACUGGCCUCCUGACCCUUGACUCACAGGGACAACCCAGCCCCAGCCUGAUGAGGAGGGGACUGCAGCCGCUCAGCUGAGCUCCUACAGGGCAGGCAGGAAGGAGCCGGAGGUCCCGGAGCCCAAGCUCCUGACAUCUGACAGGAGACUACAAUAGAGGAGGCAAAAUGACAGCCUCACAGGAAAGUAAUUUCCUAUCAGGAAAAAAAAAGAGGGGGGAGAAAGAAAGAAAAAGAGGCAAAUCCCAUGAUUGUCUUUUUUUGUGAGACGGAGUUUCGCUCUUGUUGGCCAGGCUAGAGUGUAAUGGUGCAAUCUCAGCUCACUGCAACCUCCUGGGUUCAGGCGAUUCUCCUGUCUCAGCCACCUGAGUAGCUGGUAUUAUAAGCAUGUGCCACCAACCUGGCUAAGUUUUGUAAUUUUGGUAGAGAUGGGGUUUCUCCAUGUUGGUCAAGGCUGAUCCCGAACUCCCGACCUCAGGUGAUCCACCAGCCUCAGCCUCCCAAAGUACUGGGAUUACAAGUGUGAGCCACCAUGCCCAGCCCCCCAUGAUUGCCUUAAUACCCAAAAGAGUGGUGAGGCUGAGGACGAAGCAUGCUGAGAGAGAAAGUUAGGAUCAUAUGAAUAAUUUAAAUCUAUUAUUCUUAAGUUUGGCCAGUUAUUUAACACAUUUUUUUUGGGUUUAUUACUCUGUGUCUGUAACUUUGAUAAAAACAUAAAAAUUCCUCCAUUUUCAUCUUAUUUAUUACCAACAAUCCCCCCAGCCCAUCUGGCCGGAGGUUCUAGUUAUGGGCCAAUCCAGUCAGGGCCCUGAGCGCAAUGGGGUGUGGGCAUGGGCUUCCCCGCUCCUGAGGCUUGUUUUGAUGCCCCCGUGACUUGACGAAACCUCUGUCUCCUGGCUAGUGUCAGAAUCCCAGAUCACAGAGUGAACAGUAUAUUGGGAUUUGAUCAAGGUUUGCUGAAUGAAUGCAUGAAAUAGUUUCUAAGGUGAUAUUGAAAGAUGAGGAUUCUGGCAUUACCCCCACAACACACACACAUUUUAACUAUAGCGACUUUAGUGGUAGGUCAGUAGGUAAGAUGGCUGGAGGGGGUUUGGGCCCCUGAACGGUUGCUGGCUUCUGCAGGAGACACGGUUCUGGGGAGGAGCACCCUGUGGUGCAGCCUGCGUCUCAGUUCUGCACUUGUCAUCUCUGGGGCAGCUGGGAGCCUCAAUGCUGUCGGGCGGCUGCUCCUAAUCUUAUCAUCUGAGUGACAGUAGAUGAGUGUUGUUACCAACGGUGACAACAACAAGUACAACAAAUAGUGAAAAUUUAUUGAACUUUUGCUACUGGUGUGUUUCAGGCACUUUUCCAAAAACUUUGCACUUGUUAACCACUUGAAUCCUCCAAUAUCCCUGUAAAAUAAGGAAUAGUAUUAUUAUUGCCCCCAUUUUUACCGAUGGAAAAACUGAGACACACAGAGAUGAAGUAACUUGAGCAAGGACUCACUGCUAGAAAGUGACAGGACUGGAAUUCUAAUAACCCUGAGAGGCAGCCCAACAGCUUGUGAAGAAAGUGGCAGACCUGGGAGUCAACCCAACGGGCUUUGAAGCCUUUUUCCAGACAAUCAGAACAAAGUCUAGAAAUAGUUUUUAGAGUUUUCAUUCAUUUAUCUGCUAAUGUAUUUGAUUAACAUAAAUGCUUGAUGUCCCAGACCCCAUGUUUUAUUGUUUAAAUAAUCAAAUAAAAUGAUCUAUUUCACAGCAUGGUGACUAUAGUCAAUAAUAAUCUAUUGUAUACUUGCAAAAGAAAAAAAAGGCUUUAUUUUUAUUUUUAAAUUGAGGCAAGUAUUAUUCUGUCACCCAGGCUGGAGUGCAGUGGUGCCAUCUCAGCUCACCGCAUCCUCCCCUUCUGGGGUUCAAGCGAUUCUCCUGCCUCAGCCUCCCUAGUAGCUGGGAUGACAGGCACGUGCCACCAUACCCAGAUAAUUUUUGUAUUUUUGGUAGAGAUGGAGUUUCGCCAUGUUGGCCAGGCUGGUCUCAAAUUCCUGACCUCAAGUGAUCUGCCCACCUUGGCCUCUUAAAGUGCUGGGGUUACAGACAUGAGCCACCUUGCCCCACCUUCAAGAGAGUAGAUUUUAAAUGUUCUUACUACCAAAAAAUGAUAAAUAUGUGAGGUGAUAGACACAUUAAAAAGCUUCAUCAUUUCGCAAUGUAUACAUGUAUGAAGACAUCAAAUUGCAUACUGUAAGUACAUAUAAUUUUUAUUUUUAUCAAAAAACCAAUAAAAUGGGAUUUAUUACUCUAGCUUUACCCCUUGGAUGGUAAGAAACAAAAUGGUUGAAAUAGAUUCUUUGAAUUCUAAAACUAAGGGAACUUAGAGAGACGUUGAGGAUACAGUGGUCUACUUAGUCACGUAUUUGUUUUGGUGACUGAAGGAAGCCCUCCACCAUUAACAGAAAACAAAAUUGGGGCCAGGCACAGUGGCUCACGCCUGUAAUCCCAGCACUUUGAAAGGCCAAGACGGGCGGAUCAUGAGGUCAGAAGUUUGAGACCAGCUUGACCAACAUGGUGAAACCCCAUCUUUACUAAAAAUACAAAACAUAGCUGGGCAUGGUGGUGCUUGCCUGUAGGUAGGCUGAGGCAGAAGAAUCGCUUGAACCUGGGAGGUGGAGAUUGCAGUGAGCGGAGGAUCGCACCACUGCACUUCAGCAAGAAAGAAAAGAAGAAGAAAAAAAGAAAGAAAAAAAAGAAAGAAAGAAAGAAAGAAAAAUGAAGAAAGAAAGGAAGGGGGAAGGAAAGAAGGAAGAGAGAGAGAGAGAAAGAAAGAGAAAAGGAAAGGAAGGAAGGAAAAGAAACAAAAAGAAAUUGGGUUUCUAGACUAAGGCUGAGUCCAUUUAGGGUCUGCUAUGAUAAUUAUUGGCCAGUAGAUGGCAGUCCAGGAUUACUGUUGAGCCCUAGUGCUACUGGGCAAAGUACUUUCUCCAGCCAAUCAGUUCCUAUAGAUUGAAGAUAAGGCAAAGGUUUUCCAGACAAGAGAACUGACAAUUAGUAAAGGGAAGAAAGUUGAAACACACAUGCACUAACCUGAACAAAUUCAGUACGGAUUUGUGUUAUAAACUUAAAGAGCAAUACAACUUUCCUAAGAGUUAAUUAAUUGCAUUUCUGCUGGCUAUAGCGACUCACACCUGUAAUCCCAGCCCUUUGGGAGUCUGAGGUGGGAGAUCACUUGAGCCCAGAAGGUUGAGGCUGCAGUGAGCCAUGAUCGCACCACUGCACACCAGCCUGGAUGACAGAGCAAGAACCCUGUCUCAAAAAAAAAAAUGCAUUUCUAUGCAUUUCAGAAUUAUAGUAAUUCCACAGUUUAUCACUUUAUGCUUAUUAAACAACACUUUUGUGAAUGAAUGGAGUUUGAUAUUAAUAAGUUCCUUAUAAUUUGGCUAUGAGAAUAUAAGUUUUGGAUGAAGCUAUUAAAAUGGGUUUGUUAAUUCAGUCAAAAACAAAACAAAACACUUCUUACCAAAAGCGCUGUGUUGCUCAAAAAAUACUUACCGAGUACCCACUGUGCCCCAGGCAUUGUUGUGAGCACUGGGAAUGGGGGUCAGUGACCAAGGCAGGUCCCUGCCUUAAAUGAGCUUAUAUUCUAGUGAAGAGAGACAGGAUUAACACUAAAAAUACCAUUAUUUCAAGUUCUAGAAGUUCUCAGAAAAAAUAUGUGUAACAUGGCAGAAAAUAUGUAAUAAAGGAGGUCUUUCUUAGGAAGUUGAAAUUUAAGACCGAUGGAUGAGAAAUAAGUAACUGAAAUCUAGGAUGGGGCCACUCUUAGAAAAAGAACCUGGCUGGCUGUGGUGGCUCAUGCCUGAAAUCCCAGCACUUUGGGAGACUGAGGUGGGUGGAUCACUUGAGGUCAGGAGUUCGAGGCCAGCCUGGCCAACAUGGCAAAACCCUGUCUCUACUGAAAAUGCAAAAUUAGCUGGGCAUGGUAGCACACAUCUGUAAUCCCAGCUACUUGGGAGGCUGAGGUAGGAGAAUCAAUUGAACCUGGAGAGUGGAGGUUGCAUUGAGCCGAGAUCACACCACUAAACUCCAGCCUGGGCGACAGGACAAGACUCUGUCUCAAGAAGAAAAAAAGAAAAAGAACCUGAGACCAGGAUGAACUUGACAUUUUGGGGGCACAGAAAGAGCAAGGUGGUUGGAAAGUAGUAAGGAGUGGAGGAAUGUGAGGAAGAAGAGGCAGCAAGGGCCGGAUCACGUAGAGCUGCUUCGGUCUAAUAAGGAACUCUCUUCUCUGUUUGCAGUGGGUCACUGGGGUUUAUGCUUUAGGGUGGUGAUGUAGGGCUGCGUCAGAUGCAGGGGCCGGGCUGAGGGACGCUGCAGUGGUCCGCGUAAGAGAUGAGGUUGCUCAGAUUAUGGUCGCAGCAGCAGAGAUGGAGAGAUGCGACUGGGUUUGCAGAAUGGGGCUUAUAGUUAGAGUCAACAGGAUUUUUUUAAAAAAAUGCGUUUGAUGGCAGAAGGCAGAUUAGAAACAAAGCUGAAUGAAGGGUCACUCCUACGUUUUCAGUCUGAGUAGCUGUGUGGGUGGUGGUGCCAUUUUCUGAGGCGAGGAAGACUUGGAGUUGAGAAGACAGGAUGGAGGAAGGGGUUUGCUGAGUCUGAGAUACCAAAAAAAUCAUCCAAAUGAAAAUGCUGACUGCUCAGUUGCAUCGAAACAGAGGAGCUUGGUGAAACACUGAGGUCUGAACUAUAUCUGGGUGUCAUCAAGGAAUGGAUGGCAUUUCCAACCCUAGGACUGGCUGAGGACCCUCAGUACAUUGGUGUAAGUAGUGAAGGGAUGAGAUGUGGGUACUGAAUCCUGGGGUACUUCCAUGCUAGUGACCUAUCUGGCAGAGCAAGAUGAAAGUUGGUCGGGGUGUCUCUGAAGGCAACUGAUAGUCAUUUUUUAAGGAGAGAGGGCCCACCAGGUGACACAGUCUGAAGAGGCUGAGAAAGAAGAGGUCAGGCACCAGUCUUGGGACCCAGGCAAGAUGUCCUUAAUCAGUGCAGAUGGGUUGGUGGAGGGGCUCCAAGCUUGACAGAGUGAGGCUGGAAAGGGAGGUGAGAAGUGGAAAGACCAGAAGACAACUCCUUUAAGGCCUUUUCUGUAAGGAGGAGCAGAGAAACAGGGAGAAACAAAGAGCAACAGGGAAUCAAAGGAGAACUUUAAUACUGUUUAUGGGAUGAGUGAUUCUAACACAUGUUUACACAUUGAUAAGGGUGAGGGGUUUGGGGAUGGAGAAAUAGAUAUUUGAAAUUGCAGAAGCAAACUCUUUGAGAGGAAAGGAGAAGCUAGCUUCAAGAACAUGAAUGGAGGGGUUGGCCUUCCAUAGGAAGAACAGAUUAUCCAUUGUAAAAGGAGUAAGAACACACCCACCUGUCACUGGGUAUGGACAGGGAAGGCAGUUGGAUUAUUAUGGGAUUCUGGGCUUCCACAGGCACAAUUGCCUACCCUGUUCCUCUCCCAUGGAACAAUGAGUGUGUGCUCUGUGCCAGGAAUUCUUCUAGGUGCAAAUAUUCAGGUCCUAUGGUCCCAGCAAAUAACACCCAUCCAUAUCUGCACCUCUAGAUGUGAUGUACAAAUGUCUUAGGAGGUAAGUCUAGAAUUUCAGGAAAGACUGAAGAACAGGAAGCACCUAGAUUCCCAGAGAACCACGGGCUGCCUGACUGAUGUGGCUGGUGCCUGGACUUCUAGGUAGGGACACUGACGGCUGGAGGUGGAGAGAUGACACCUACUUCACCAGUCUCCAGUCUCCCACUGGGUCUUACGGGCGCAGCUUAGGGAUAGCAUGCUGGCGCACGCCCGGAGCUUCAUUGAGAUUUUCAGCUUCAUUGAGAUAUAAUUUAUUGCUGCAGGCCAGUAGGUGACAUUCCCAGUGUACCUAAGGGUCCAGUGGUUUGGGGCAAUGAAGAUGGGGUAUCUCACCAGGUGAGGCCAGGCUCUGCUUCUUCUGAGCUACCACUCUCUCUCUACCUGAUUCCCCAUGCCUUUUUCUUGUUAGGCGCUGCGGCUGAGACAGAGAGAGAGUUUAGAGAGAGAAAGAGAGAGAGAGUAAAUUCCAGUUUCUCCUUUUUAGUCUCUUUUCUUAUGCCCUUUGCUCUGCUUGUUCCUCUGCGUCUUUUCUCUUCUUGCCGCUGCAAGAGUGGAAAACUCAUGCUCAGUUUUAGACAAACAUUAACUCCGGGCGAUGUUUCCAAGCGGCAGACAAACUAGAGAGUGAGAAGCGAGAUGCCAGGACACCGAGGGCAAAAAGGGGCUCGGGCGUGUGCGGGGCUGGCCUCCGAGGCGCCACCGCAUCCCUCUGCUCCGAGGCCUGCACGGGGAGCCUGGUGGGGGCGGCAAGAGGACAGACCCCAUGCCCGGGCCUCCCACCAGUGACCACCUCCCCUGCAGCUUGGGUUGAUCCUCCAGACAGCAUGAGAUGAGGGGAAGCGGGGCACCUAGUGGCUGCUCUGAAACGUUGAACACCUGUGGAGGAGGAGCAGUUUCCACCUUCCCCGCCGCCUGGGCAGGUAGCGGUUCUGGGCCUGGACGGGGCUGGACGCGGGGAAGCGGGAAAGAACAGUUCCUGUUUGCAGUGGCCGCCUGGCAGGGCAUCGACGGGAGGGGUUCUACCGCAGUGGUGUUAGGCCGGCUCGGUGGCUCACACCUGUAAUCCCAGCACUUUCGGAGGCCGAGACUGGAGGAUCGCUUGAACUCGGGAGGUAGAGGUUGCAGUGAACUGAGAUCGCCACUGCACUCCAGCCUGGGCGACAGAGCUCUGUCGGAAAAAAACCCCUCAAAACCAAAAAACAGUGGUGUUAGAGGGAUGACAUUAUUGGUGACUAAAGUUUUAUUUUGAACUUUCCUUAAUCUUGCAGGGGCAGCCGCGCCCUGAAAACGCCUGUGAUCUGGAGUGGAGGGUCCAGGCUUAGUGUGGUGAGUGACCCUAGGCAGGUCACUAGCUCCUUCCGAGCCUUCAUUGAAUCCUCUCUUACACGGGGAUGUUACUCUCAGUUCUCCCUGUCCUUCAGGGCAUUAGUUUAUGAAUUAGAUGGUGCAAUAUUAACCAUCCUUUUAUUAGACAGAAACAGUAAGUUUGAGGAAGAGGACGUCUACCUUACAGGGGGUUUAAUUUUCAGCUUCAUUGAGAUAUAAUUUGUUGAAUGGUGUUUUACAUGCGCGCCUUUUCCAACAGCGCCCCAUAGCUAUUCCCAGCACCAGAAGCGGACAACCGCUUUACUGAGAAACAGAGACAGGUACUUCCUGAGGCACCGCAGUCCCGGUCCACUGGGUUUACUACAACUAAAAAUGGCUGUUUCUGUUUACUAGGUAUUAGGCAAUGUGUUUUAAGGAAAUGAAUUGUCUCUAAUCCUCACAACCAUUCAGCAAGCUAGGGGUCACCCGCAUUUUACAAAUCAUGGCACCCCGCUCACCAUAUCUGGAAACUUGCCUCACCCUGGAGGAUUCUAAUUUUCACUUUAGAGAGCUGAGCAAGAUGACCGUCCAGCGCUAGUCCUGGGAAAUCCCCGGGACUGAAGAUCGCAGGCCAGGAGGGCAUCCUGCGCUGCCACCCGGACCUGGCGGGCCGCGAGCUGCAGCAGGGCACGCUCACCGCCGAGUCGCAGCGGGAGCAGAGCGGCGCGGGCCUUACGUGCCUGGGCGCGGACGAGCGGCUCCGGC